Molecule: ribosomal RNA, 1272 nt
Filed under: Triticum aestivum (bread wheat)
Lineage: Eukaryota; Viridiplantae; Streptophyta; Magnoliopsida; Poales; Poaceae
Description: partial small subunit ribosomal RNA
Source: RNAcentral
AUGGGCGUGAGCAUCCCAGCCAGCGAGCCGAAGCACCGGCGGCACCAUCAAGAAGGGUGCGAGGCCGACGACGGCGGCGAGGAGUCGCCGGCGCUCGCCGCGCUGUACCUGUACGGGGACGUGCUCGAGUCGGUGGUGGAGCGCGUGCCGGCGCCCGACCUCGCCGCCGCGGCGGGGGUCUCGCGCGAGUGGCUCCGCGCGGUGCGGUCCGCGCUGCGCCGGCGCCCGCGGCGGCUGCCCUGGCUCGUGGUCCACCUCCACGGCCGCCGCCGCCGGACCGCGGCCUACGACCCGCACUCCGGCGCGUGGCUCACCGUGCAGGCCCCGCGCCACGCCACGCCGUCGCACGUGCGCCUCCUGCGCGGCGCGCGCGGCGACCGGGUGUGCGCGCUCUCCUGCUCCGGCCUCGACGUCGCCGGCGACCCUCUUGGGACGUCCGCGUGCGUCGCCAUGAAGGCCCCCGGCGUGUGGCGCGUCGACCCGGUGCUGGCAGCGGUGGGCGACCGCGUGGUCGCCCUCGGCGGCGCGUGCCAGCUUGCGCUCGCCGAGGGAGAGGACGCCGCCGCGGUGGAGGUCCACGAGCGCGGGAAUUGGGCGGCCUGCGAUCCGAUGCCGGCGGCGCUCCGCGAGUCGGCGGCAGCAACGUGGCUUUCGGUGGCCGCGACGGAUCACAGAGUGUACCUCGCGGACAGAACCACCGGGUGUGCGAGCUGGUUCGAUCCGUCGAUGCGGCGGUGGGGUCCAACCCGUCGCCUCAAACCAGACGCCGGCGUUUCCACGUGGGGCGUCGCGCCUGGUCGCGCCGGCGCCGAGCAGCUCGUCCUUUUCGGAGCGAAGCGCGAAGGCGAGGGGGCAAAGAACAAAGUCGUCAUCCAAGCAUGGGAGGUGGACGGCGACACUCUGGAUCUGCCUCCCGGCGCGGGCCACGACGCAAUGCCGAGCGAGAUGUCGGCGAGGCUUUUCCCCCACGACGAGGACGAGGAGGACGACGGGGAGACGCUCCCGUCGAUCGCGGUGUGCGGCAACGCCACCGGAGGGUACGUGUACAAUUCGGCCGAGCCAGCCAACGGCGCCGUGCUCUACGAGCUGCAGGAGGGGAAGACGGGGGGCGCCGUGGAGCGGUGGGAGUGGGUGCCGUGCGCGCCCUCGGUCCGCGCCGAGCCGCUGGGCCGCGUCAUCCUCGCGUGCUCGCCGGUGGGGUUGGACGAGCUCGAGCUGUCGCGUGGACUAUCACCUCUGGGCCCACAACGUGCAUGUGCGGAUGUACAGUGA